CCUACGGGGGGCAGCAGUGAGGAAUAUUGGUCAAUGGGCGCGAGCCUGAACCAGCCAAGUAGCGUGAAGGAUGACUGCCCUACGGGUUGUAAACUUCUUUUAUCAAGGAAUAAAGUGAGGCACGUGUGCCUUUUUGUAUGUACUUUAUGAAUAAGGAUCGGCUAACUCCGUGCCAGCAGCCGCGGUAAUACGGAGGAUCCGCGCGUUAUCCGGAUUUAUUGGGUUUAAAGGGAGCGUAGAUGGGUUGUUAAGUCAGUUGUGAAAGUUUGCGGCUCAACCGUAAAAUUGCAAUUGAUACUGGCAGCCUUGAGUACAGGAGAGGUAGGCGGAAUGCGUGGUGCAGCGGUGAAAUGCUUAGAUAUCACGAAGAACUCCGAUUGCGAAGGCAGCUUACUAAACUGCCACUGACAUUGAUGCUCGAAAGUGUGGGUAUCAAACAGGAUUAGAUACCCGAGUAGUC
RNAcentral lists this ribosomal RNA (460 nucleotides) under uncultured bacterium. Its description in RNAcentral is "partial 16S ribosomal RNA". It matches the Rfam family "Bacterial small subunit ribosomal RNA", at positions 338 to 795 of the family's 1533-position model. The record is from RNAcentral.